GGGAAGGUGGCUCAGUGGUAGAGCACUUGCCUUAUAUGCCUGAGGCCCUGGGUUCGAUUCCUCAGCACCCCA
This is a non-coding RNA of Dipodomys ordii (Ord's kangaroo rat), 72 nucleotides long. The record is from Rfam. Lineage: Eukaryota; Metazoa; Chordata; Mammalia; Rodentia; Heteromyidae.